Ribosomal RNA from Desulfosporosinus youngiae DSM 17734, 116 nucleotides. Lineage: Bacteria; Bacillati; Bacillota; Clostridia; Eubacteriales; Desulfitobacteriaceae. The record is from Rfam.
UCUGGUGAUUAUGCCGGAGGGGUUCCACCCGUUCCCAUACCGAACACGGAAGUUAAGACCUCCAGGGCCAAGGAUACUUGGAGCAUAGCUCCUGGGAAAGCAGGUCAUCGCCAGGU